Molecule: ribosomal RNA, 475 nt
Filed under: Clostridioides difficile
Lineage: Bacteria; Bacillati; Bacillota; Clostridia; Peptostreptococcales; Peptostreptococcaceae
Description: partial 23S ribosomal RNA
Rfam family: Bacterial large subunit ribosomal RNA
Source: RNAcentral
CUCAACGGAUAAAAGCUACCCUGGGGAUAACAGGCUUAUCUCCCCCAAGAGUCCACAUCGACGGGGAGGUUUGGCACCUCGAUGUCGGCUCAUCACAUCCUGGGGCUGUAGUAGGUCCCAAGGGUUGGGCUGUUCGCCCAUUAAAGUGGUACGCGAGCUGGGUUCAGAACGUCGUGAGACAGUUCGGUCCCUAUCCGUCGCAGGCGUAGGAAAUUUGAGAAGACCUGUCCUUAGUACGAGAGGACCGGGAUGGACGUACCUCUGGUGUACCAGUUGUUCUGCCAAGGGCAUGGCUGGGUAGCUAUGUACGGAAUGGAUAAGCGCUGAAAGCAUCUAAGCGCGAAGCCAACUUCAAGAUAAGAUUUCCCACCGCAAGGGUAAGACCCCAGAAAGACUAUCUGGUUGAUAGGUCGAAGGUGUAAGUGCAGCAAUGUAUUUAGCUUAUCGAUACUAAUAGGUCGAGGACUUGACCAAU